GGCUGGUCCGAAGGUAGUGAGUUAUCUCAAUUGAUUGAUCACAACCAGUUACAAAUUUCUUUGUUCCUCCUCCACUCCCACUACUUCACUUGAACAGCAGUC
This 102-nucleotide Y RNA is filed under the name Peromyscus maniculatus bairdii (prairie deer mouse). RNAcentral's name for it is "Y RNA (ENSPEMG00000027004.1)". It matches the Rfam family "Y RNA". From Rfam's summary of the family: Y RNAs are components of the Ro ribonucleoprotein particle (Ro RNP), in association with Ro60 and La proteins. The Y RNAs and Ro60 and La proteins are well conserved, but the function of the Ro RNP is not known. Lineage: Eukaryota; Metazoa; Chordata; Mammalia; Rodentia; Cricetidae. The record is from Rfam by way of RNAcentral.